This 299-nucleotide ribosomal RNA is filed under the name Clostridioides difficile. RNAcentral describes it as "partial 23S ribosomal RNA". It matches the Rfam family "Bacterial large subunit ribosomal RNA", at positions 338 to 640 of the family's 2925-position model. Lineage: Bacteria; Bacillati; Bacillota; Clostridia; Peptostreptococcales; Peptostreptococcaceae. The record is from RNAcentral.
AGGUUUGGAAAGACCCACCACAGAAGGUAAUAGUCCUGUAUGUUAAACGAGAAGACUUCAGAUAUGAUCCAGAGUACCACGGGACACGUGAAACCCUGUGGGAAGCAGGAGGGACCACCCUCCAAGGCUAAAUACUACCUAGUGACCGAUAGCGUAUAGUACCGUGAGGGAAAGGUGAAAAGAACCCCGGGAGGGGAGUGAAAUAGAACCUGAAACCCUGCACUUACAAGCUGUGGAAGCACAUUUCUUGUGUGACCGCGUACUUUUUGUAGAACGGGCCAACGAGUUACGUUAAGUAG